UCACACAUUACAAACACCAGGAAUGAAACAGGAUGUUCUAGACCACAGAUCAUCAGCACAGAUCCACAAACACAAAUUACACAACACAGAGGAAACGGACCAGCUUCUUAAAGCAUGUAAACCACCACGACUUUAUGUGAAACGGAUAAUUCCAACCACAAGUUCUGUAACUACAUUCCUGGACCGUGAUGAAGUUCGUGGCGCCUACAGAACGGCCAUGACUGGCCAAGCGGCUCAAGGUGUGGAGGCCCUGGGCUGUGAUCAGCGCCAGUUGCCCUGGGCCUACAGCAAGGUCCUGGAGGCCACAAGUCCAGGGCAGAACAGCUCGUCAUCUAAGCCCUGUUGAGGGCCCUGUCUGCAGCCCGUGACCUGGUGGAGCGCCGCGGUGGGUGUGCCUGUGAGGGCUGUGAGGGGGCAGUCACAGGGCAGAUGGGAGGGUUGGGCUCCCUCACUCCCCUCCCACUAGGCUCCCCCAGAAAUCAUAAAAUGCUUCCCAAGGGUGUAGCCCCCAGUGACCCCAACUCCCUCCUGUGCCCUCUUGAAGACUCUGACGCUUCCCACACCCCCACGUGGCUCAGGGCCACACAAGAUCCUCUGGGGGACAAAGGAGGAGGAGGGGAGCGCCGCCUGUGAGCUGUUCAGGGAUCUCCCGGCUGUGGGAUCUGCCUGGAGCUGGCGUGACCUGGGAAACUGGAUCACCAGGAGACUCCACCGGGGCGCUUAGCAAAAGCUGCCUGGGUGUGUGGAGACCGGGUGUGCAUGGUGCUAGCUCAGGGUGGAGCCCGGACAGGCGGGCUGAGUCUGAGGGCUUCGUUGGAGGCCUGGGCACCGCCCCUCCGUGCACAGGGAUGACACCCCGCUCCUCACACUGCCUGGUCCUGCAUGAAUCUGCCCUUCCUGAACCUACAGAGCCUGGUGCCAGCUAUGCCGUGCUGAGCAGUGGUGGAGGGCUCGGAGGACAAAUGGAUGUGCUCUCAAUGCCCCCUUUGGCGGAGAAGAGUUGAGAGCCCUGUGUAAGGUCUGCCCUGAAGGGGAGGCAGGUAACAAGCGCCCACUCUCAUGCUGGUCCCAGGGCCUCUCUGUGUCUGCUGUUCUUAGCCAGGCCUUGGUGACUUCAACUCUGUACCACUCAGCAGGAGCUGGCACGCAGUGGGUGCCCAAUAAGUGCUGCAGGGACAGCUCUGAAGCACACCCUGACUCCACCGCGGAGCCUUGCGCCACCCAGAAUCCUCUCUGCUUGUCCCUGCCCUCAUUUUCACCAUCGCUUUACAUAACAUGGGUGGUUUCACCUUCUAAAAAAAUACUAACUCAAUUACUCUGUGAAUAUUUAUCAGAACCAAAGGAAUGAAAAUAAGCUCCCGCAGCGCAGAAACCCAGAUGUUUGGGGUUAUUUUUCCAACACAGUGCUCAACUAUUUUACUUAUUUACUGUUUUUCUUAAGACACAAGGCAGACUGUGCUGUGAUGUGGACAGAGGCCCUGUCCUUGCGUCCCCUGUCCCUCGGGAGUGUGGGCACACUGGGCGGCCACCCCGGGCGGCUGAGGCGGGACAGACCGGCAACGGGAAACAGCUGUGUGGCCCAUGCUGUCUCCUCGGCCCCAAGCGGGGACGCGUGCUGCAGACGAGGGACAGGCGGCGACAGCCGGACAAGGAAGUCCCUUGCCACGGACCAGGCAGAGCGGAUCCGCCUGGCUUGGCUGUGAGGUCACUCAGCAGGGUCCCACCAGCCACGCCGGGCCUCCUCCUCCCGGCCACUGGAGAGGACGCUGCCCAAGGAGUCCUCGGGUGCCACCUCGAAGCGGCCUCAUAGCUCUACUGUGCUGCCCACAGCCUUCCUUGGCCUUAAAAAUGCCACUCAAGGAGGAGGAGGAGCUGGCCUGGGCGUAGGGGGUCAGUGGCUUCUACCCUGAGGAGGAAGAUGUGCCCUGCAGUGCCCCAGCAGAUGACACAUUCACGGUGGACAGGCUCAUCCCAGGAAAACGACACCCCCAGAAGCUGCUGGCGGGUGAUGGCUCCCCAGCUUCCGGGCAGCGCCUUGGCAGCCAGUGCUCCAGGCCUGGCACGGCUUCUCACAGCUCAGCCUGCAGCCUGGGUUCCUCUUCGUGAGCAUCUGCAGUGGCCUGAGUGGCCCCCAAGGGCCCGGCCACGACCCUCACCACACACUGCUGUCCCUCGUGACUCACAUGUGCCUGCUGAGGCUCUGCACCUGGGCCGCCAUCUCCCACCUGUGACCCUCGCCCCCCAGCCCCUCCUCCCAUGGGCCCCGCUUUGCUCUCCUCACAGCACCACGCAGCGGGGGUGGGCGGCUCUUGCUGCCUGUUCAGCGGCCGCCAUCACCCCAACCCUGCUUCCGGGGCCUCCUGUCCGCAAGGCAGACAUGGUGGGUGGGUGUGUGAGUCUGUGGGCGCUGCACGGGGGCUGACGGGCCUCCCUGUCCUCUCAGGUCUCCUUUCUAUCGGCCGUGCUGCUGUCAGGGACACCUUGUAAAGGUGAACAUCAGGUCUCGGUCCGUCACCACAGUAAGCUGUCUAAUAAUUCCCCUUGCUCUUGGAACAAAUCCAGACACCCUCCCUGCCCCAAGACCCACGGAGGGCCCCCCGCUGCUCCCAGCCCCCAAAAGAGGUCACUGCCACGGGUCACUGAUGUGACCCAGAGGACACUGCUUGGCACAGGAGGUGUUUCUGCUCUGAUAUCAGAAAUCGGGUGCUGUUCCAGGAAUUCUCUUUGAAUAAAAAGAGGCCACAAACACCGAUGGCCAGAGGCUGGGAAGAUGUCCAGGUCCCUCCUGUCACCUCACACGGCUGUGCCCUCCCGUGACAUGUGCUCCGGUAGAAACAGAACAGACCAGUGCCAGACACCAAGAGGGUGCGGCCUUUGGGCAGGGGUCACAGAAAUAGAGAGCUUUCCGGGCUGGUUCCUAAAAACAGCUUCAAGUCUCAGCAGUGGCAGGGCUGGCGCCUCACCCAGCCCGUGGUUUCUGCUGCUGUCUCCACCCUUGCGAUUCCAUGCGGAGAACUUCUGCAGGGGGGCAGGAGUGCAGGUGACCCGAGGGCCACACUGAGGCGGAGUAUGGCCUCUUCUCAGACGUACCUGGAGAUCAGUAUCACAGGGACCAGAAUGCAGCGCCAAACACCCGCUCGAUGUCAAACAAGGCGGUGACAGAAGCCAUAGUCGCCACCUUUUCCCAGAGGACUCAGCAAGGUAUUUCAGUUUUCAGUGAGGAAACACAGUCCACGGCUUUCUGCCCUGGCCUCUUGCCCAAGUCCUCUGGGGCUGGGGUGCCCUGUGGCCCAGCAGCCUCAGCAAGGCAUGGUGAGCUCCCACGCCGGGCCAUUGUCAGAGCCAGCCCGGCACCCGCGUGCAUGUUUUCAGGCUACGACAGCAACUUCCUGGUGCCACUGUCCUCAGUCCCCUUCAUCUCAUCUCCCUGUGGAACCCAGCUCCUGUCCCCAAGCCCCUCUGCUCCACUGGUGCCGGCCUGGGCCUGGGGUCUCUGCAGUGGGGGGACUGCUGGGUCACGGUAGCAUCGUGGAGAGCAAGACAGAUGUGGCCUCCUUCAGGGACUGUGCAACUCCUCGGUGACAUCUUGGCCCUCUCGUCCUCCUCGCCAGCACACCUCCAAGGACAGGCACUCCAUCUUCCUGGAUCACCCCUUUCACUUUCUGACAACUUUAUCAGAGCACUCAAGCUGUCACCAGGUCGAGAGCCCUGGCGUCAUCUGCUUCCUGCAGCACAAUGACAGAGUGCAGGAGCCUGCGACAGUUGUCAGCCAUGUCACCUGCCAUUUGCUGGGGCCAGCGCCUGGCCUGUGAUGGAGUCGGUCACUUCCGCUCUGCACCAGCGCAGCUAUGGCUUCUGCCACCAGCCGUUCACACUCUAGCAGAUAACUGCUGGCCACAGCAGGUCUGGAGCACUGCAGGAAUCCGGGCUGACCAGAUAAAGCCCAUUAUCACUGCAGCCGCAGUGUACAGGCUCACUGAGGACUUACAGGACAUUUUGUCAACAUGUGGGCUUGUCCCGGGAACACGGGUGUUGGGUCUGACAUGAAGGACCGGAGGCUCCGGAGAUAGCAGGCCUGCUUAUCAGCCAUGGUGCCCGAGUGAGGUCAAACAUCAACACCACAGCCGUCCCAGAUGAAAACAAGUCCUAGAACACCAGGGCAGGAAGAUCCCCGAGCCACUGGGGAUGGAGGAAAUGAGACCCAGCAAGGGAACCAGAGGGGACCACAGUCUGCAGGCAAGGCUCAGGUCUCCUAGCAACAAAAGAAGGCCCUGUCCCCUUUGCAGACUGGACCAGGCAUAGAAAGGCAAGGGGAGAGGUCCAGAGUCAGUGACAAUCUACUUCUCUAGAACCACAGUUUAUUAUGCUGUUUCUGGAUGGUGUCUUGAAUGUAUCCUUGAGAUCCAGUGAAAAUGGGGUAAAUAUAUUACUUGUUGCAGGCAUAAUGGUGCGCACCUGUAAUCCCAGCACUUUGGAGGCUGAGGCAGGAGGAUUCCCAUGAG
Molecule: long non-coding RNA, 4502 nt
Organism: Chinchilla lanigera (long-tailed chinchilla)
Lineage: Eukaryota; Metazoa; Chordata; Mammalia; Rodentia; Chinchillidae
Exons: 3
Source: RefSeq, a predicted model, not a curated record